CAGAUAAUUUAGAAGUCGAGAAAAAGACAAAACUAAAUGUUCUGGAGGCUGGAAGUCCAAGAUCAAGGUGCUAUCAGGGUUGGUUUCGGCUGUGGCCUCUCUUCCUGGCUUGUAGACAGCUAUCUUCUCGCAGUGUCCUCACGUGGCCUCUUUGUGUGAAGGAAGCUGCUAAAGAAUGUGCUUGACUAAAACAAGGCAAUAAGCAAAAGGAAGUCAUAGCAUCCAGAAAAUGGGAUCCAUCAUGCGCACAAAGAAAAGGUGAAGAAAAUUUCCAGGAUGUUCAGAACCCACCAAAAACGAAAGAUUCUGGUCCAGAUCAGAAGAGAGGGAAACACUCUGAAAAAGUCCCUCAAAUACAAAAUUAAACAGAGUUUAAAUGAUGUGCUUGACCACAAUAAAAGGCUUCUUGCUCU
Homo sapiens (human) is the source of this 413-nucleotide long non-coding RNA. Ensembl annotates it as long intergenic non-protein coding RNA 2147. The record is from Ensembl. Lineage: Eukaryota; Metazoa; Chordata; Mammalia; Primates; Hominidae.